Molecule: long non-coding RNA, 255 nt
Filed under: Trifolium pratense (red clover)
Lineage: Eukaryota; Viridiplantae; Streptophyta; Magnoliopsida; Fabales; Fabaceae
Description: long non-coding RNA (TPRA_LNC002736)
Source: RNAcentral
AACAAAUUGCAAGACAUUUUUAGUUUUCUACUUCUUUAGGGAUUUGGAUUCCCUGCAGUCAAAAAUUGACUGCAGGUGAAUCUCAACCACUCAUUUUAUUUAUGUUUUUUAUUUAUUUGAUGAGUAUUAAAUUUGGACUAUUAGAUAGUGUGAAUGCAUGACUGCAUGGUGAAAGUAAAUACACUCAAUCCAUAUCCCUUCUUUAGGACUUGGAAAAUUGUAUUUAAUUUAAUGUGAUAUCAAAUAGUAAAUUAG